UACGAAGGGUGCAAGCGUUAAUCGGAAUUACUGGGCGUAAAGCGUGCGUAGGCGGUUCUUUAAGUCUGCUGUGAAAUCCCCGGGCUCAACCUGGGAAUGGCAGUGGAUACUGGAGAGCUAGAGUGUGAUAGAGGAUGGUGGAAUUCCCGGUGUAGCGGUGAAAUGCGUAGAGAUCGGGAGGAACAUCAGUGGCGAAGGCGGCCAUCUGGAUCAACACUGACGCUGAGGCACGAAAGCGUGGGGAGCAAACAGG
Molecule: ribosomal RNA, 253 nt
Filed under: uncultured bacterium
Lineage: Bacteria
Description: partial 16S ribosomal RNA
Rfam family: Bacterial small subunit ribosomal RNA
Source: RNAcentral